CCUACGGGUGGCAGCAGUGAGGAAUAUUGGUCAAUGGGCGUAAGCCUGAACCAGCCAAGUCGCGUGAGGGAUGAAGGUUCUAUGGAUCGUAAACCUCUUUUAUAAGGGAAUAAAUUGUUGGACGUGUCCUGUUUUGUAUGUACCUUAUGAAUAAGGAUCGGCUAACUCCGUGCCAGCAGCCGCGGUAAUACGGAGGAUCCGAGCGUUAUCCGGAUUUAUUGGGUUUAAAGGGUGCGUAGGCGGCCUUUUAAGUUAGCGGUGAAAGUCUGUGGCUCAACCAUAGUAUUGCCGUUGAAACUGGGAGGCUUGAGUAUGUUUGAGGCAGGCGGAAUGCGUGGUGUAGCGGUGAAAUGCUUAGAUAUCACGAAGAACCCCGAUUGCGAAGGCAGCCUGCCAAGCCAUGACUGACGCUGAUGCACGAAAGCGUGGGGAUCAAACAGGAUUAGAUACCCCUGUAGUC
Molecule: ribosomal RNA, 460 nt
Filed under: uncultured bacterium
Lineage: Bacteria
Description: partial 16S ribosomal RNA
Rfam family: Bacterial small subunit ribosomal RNA
Source: RNAcentral